Molecule: ribosomal RNA, 253 nt
Filed under: uncultured bacterium
Lineage: Bacteria
Description: partial 16S ribosomal RNA
Rfam family: Bacterial small subunit ribosomal RNA
Source: RNAcentral
UACGAAGGGUGCAAGCGUUACUCGGAAUUACUGGGCGUAAAGCGUGCGUAGGUGGUGAGUUAAGUCUGAUGUGAAAUCCCCGGGCUCAACCUGGGAAUGGCAUUGGAUACUGGCUCGCUAGAGUGCGGUAGAGGGUGGUGGAAUUCCCGGUGUAGCAGUGAAAUGCGUAGAGAUCGGGAGGAACAUCUGAGGAGACGGCGACCACCGGGAUCAACACUGACACUGAGGCACGAAAGCGUGGGGAGCAAACAGG